This 440-nucleotide ribosomal RNA is filed under the name uncultured bacterium. RNAcentral describes it as "partial 16S ribosomal RNA". It matches the Rfam family "Bacterial small subunit ribosomal RNA", at positions 338 to 795 of the family's 1533-position model. The record is from RNAcentral.
CCUACGGGCGGCAGCAGUAGGGAAUAUUGCUCAAUGGGGGAAACCCUGAAGCAGCAACGCCGCGUGGAGGAUGAAGGUUUUCGGAGUGUAAACCCCUUUUUUUAGAGAAGUUAAUGACGGUAUCUAACGAAUAAGCACCGGCUAAUUCCGUGCCAGCAGCCGCGGUAAUACGGAGGGUGCAAGCGUUACACGGAAUUACUGGGCGUAAAGGGGGCGUAGGGGGGAUAGCAAGUCAGAUGUGAAAUCCUAUGGCUUAACCGUAGAACUGCAUUUGAAACUGUUAUUCUAGAGUAUGGGAGAGGUAGGUGGAAUUCUUGGUGUAGGGGUAAAAUCCGUAGAGAUCAAGAGGAAUACUCAUUGCGAAGGCGACCUGCUAGAACAUAACUGACGCUGAUGCGCGAAAGCGUGGGGAGCAAACAGGAUUAGAUACCCUAGUAGUC